Molecule: long non-coding RNA, 371 nt
Filed under: Homo sapiens (human)
Lineage: Eukaryota; Metazoa; Chordata; Mammalia; Primates; Hominidae
Description: HSALNT0150793
Source: RNAcentral
GGGUGGGACAGCUUAGGCUUUUGAUUUGGGUGAGUGGCUGCUCUGACUGCGUGGAGAUCUGCCUGGGCAUCAAGCAGAGAAGGCCUCAAUCCACCACUAUCUCUGCACAGGAAGGGUUAGGAAACUCAGGCUGCUGGUCCGGGCAAGCAGUUGCUCCAAAUGCAUGGAGUUCUGCCUGGAUGUGGAGUGAAGAGGCCCCCCUGCAUCAGGAUCUCUACACAGGAAGGAUGGCCGUAGCUCAGGCUGCUGAACCAGUGACUUCACACUAACUUAGGAUCAGAUCAUUCUCACUGGACUUUAACAUGCACAUCUUCAACCCAUUGGUGUUCCGGUAAAUGUUUAGCAGCCAUCUCACUGAAAAAUAAAGCCAG